This 372-nucleotide ribosomal RNA is filed under the name uncultured bacterium. Its description in RNAcentral is "bacterial SSU rRNA". It matches the Rfam family "Bacterial small subunit ribosomal RNA", at positions 30 to 414 of the family's 1533-position model. The record is from RNAcentral.
AUUGAACGCUGGCGGCAGGCUUAACACAUGCAAGUCGAGCGGAGACUUCGGUCUUAGCGGCGAACGGGUGAGGAAUGCCUGGGAAUCUGCCUGUUAGUGGGGGAUAACGUUCCGAAAGGAGCGCUAAUACCGCAUACGUCCUACGGGAGAAAGCAGGGGACCUUCGGGCCUUGCGCUAACAGAUGAGCCCAGGUCGGAUUAGCUAGUUGGUGGGGUAAAGGCUCACCAAGGCGACGAUCCGUAGCUGGUCUGAGAGGAUGAUCAGCCACACUGGAACUGAGACACGGUCCAGACUCCUACGGGAGGCAGCAGUGGGGAAUAUUGGACAAUGGGCGAAAGCCUGAUCCAGCCAUGCCGCGUGUGUGAAGAAGG